AAUUAAACAUGAUCACAAUUAGGAAUGGAAUCCUGGCCUCAUGUGGUGUUUGCUGAGCAGUUGGUGCUAAGACAGAGGCUUGAAUCUGCCUCUGCACACCAUUUGCCAUUUCUUACACAGAACUCGAUGAACAGGCUCAUUCUAGCUAGAACCACCUGUGUAAAGACCUGGUAUUAGAAUGGAAAGCAUUGAUCUACGAUACUAAGAAAUAGUAAAGGGCACUGGUAAUCUGAGGUAUCUUCCACUUCUAGGACUUGCUGCUGAAAGUCGAUUCUAUCCAGUCACUGUGCUGAGCCGCUAAGGAAACCACUGGGGGGAGGGUGGACCCGCCAGGAGGGAACGAGCACCAGUGCCAAGGAGC
This 361-nucleotide long non-coding RNA is filed under the name Bos taurus (domestic cattle). Its description in RNAcentral is "long non-coding RNA NONBTAT011518". Lineage: Eukaryota; Metazoa; Chordata; Mammalia; Artiodactyla; Bovidae. The record is from RNAcentral.